This 794-nucleotide long non-coding RNA is filed under the name Triticum aestivum (bread wheat). Its description in RNAcentral is "long non-coding RNA (TAES_LNC001132)". The record is from RNAcentral. Lineage: Eukaryota; Viridiplantae; Streptophyta; Magnoliopsida; Poales; Poaceae.
GGUAAUAUCCGACGCAUCAGAGGCAUAGUAUGACUUGUCUCGAUUAUGAUGUCGUCUACAAACAUCCAACGGAGGGGAACCCGUCCCAGUUUCCAUCUUGAUGGUAAGUUCUCUAAUCUUCUAUCUCACGGGAUGUGAUGUGGUUGCCUUCAUUUUGGCUUUUGACAAAGGGUUGAAAUUAGCUUAUGUGCUUCCGACAAUUAAAAUUCCAGUGAUAUUUCCAGCAAUAUAUAAUUUCUAAAUCAUUUCCAGCAAUAUGUGAGUUGUUUGCUUGCUCAACCUUACGCUGGGAUCAUGUCUACAGACUACAAAUAGAGGGAAGUUGGUCUGUGCCUUACUAGAGACAGAUGAACCAAUAAAAUGAUUGGAAAGGUUCUUCCCAAGGAAAAGGUAAGCUGAAUCUUGUACAGUUUACUUCAUAAUAUAUUUUGGUCAGUAUGUUGUUUAUUUUCUGAAAUUGAUACUCCAUUGUGGAUUACCUAUGAUGAAAAUUACAUUCUCUGCGGGCGCUGAUUCUGAUAUAUUACUAUGGGCAAAGGAAGUUCAAAAUUAAUCUCAAUCAAACAUGUGCAAAGGAAAAUCCAAAAUAUGUUAUGUCAGUAAAAGAUUCUUAAACCAGUGCGUUGCCACGGGCUAACAAAUCCAAAAUAUGUUAUGUCAGUAAAAGAUUCUCAUUUGAAUGAUGUUUUGUGUGUCCUCGGAUCACCAGGACGCCGCCGUCGCUUCGGAUCCCCACACGCCGCCAGCAUGGGCCGUGACAACUGAUGAGCACGCUCCACCCCCAUUCCUGCCAC